This 497-nucleotide ribosomal RNA is filed under the name uncultured bacterium. RNAcentral describes it as "partial 16S ribosomal RNA". It matches the Rfam family "Bacterial small subunit ribosomal RNA", at positions 28 to 507 of the family's 1533-position model. The record is from RNAcentral.
GAUGAACGCUGGCGGCGUGCCUAAUACAUGCAAGUCGAGCGAACAGACGAGGAUUUUGCUCCUCUGACGUUAGCGGCGGACGGGUGAGUAACACGUGGAUAACCUACCUAUAAGACUGGGAUAACUUCUGGACACCGGAGCUAAUACCGGAUAAUAUAUUGAACCGCAUGGUUCAAUAGUGAAAGACGGUUUUGCUUUCACUUAUAGGUGGUUCCGCGCCGCAUGAGCUACUUGGUGAGGGAACGGGUUACUAAGGCAACGACGAGUAGCAGACCUGAGAGGGGGAUCGGCGACGCUGGAACUGAGACACGGUCCAGACUCCGACGGGAGGCAGCAGUAGGGAAUCGUACGAAAUGGGCGAAAGCCUGACGGAGCAACGCCGCGUGAGUGAUGAAGGUCUUCGGAUCGUAAAACUCUGUUAUUAGGGAAGAACAGAUGUGUAAGUAGCUAUGCACGUCUUGACGGUACCUGAUGAGAAAGCCACGGCUAACUACGUG